CUACGGGUUGCAGCAGUCGAGAAUCUUCCGCAAUGCGCGAAAGCGUGACGGAGCAAUGCCGCGUGGUGGAUGAAGGCCUUAGGGUUGUAAACACCUGUCACAUGGGACGAAUUUUGACGGUACCAUGAGAGGAAGCCACGGCUAACUACGUGCCAGCAGCCGCGGUAAUACGUAGGUGGCGAGCGUUGUUCGGAUUUAUUGGGCGUAAAGGGUCCGCAGGGGGUUUGCUAAGUCUGAUGUGAAAUCCCAAGGCUCAACCUUGGAACUGCAUUGGAAACUGGCGAACUAGAGUAUCGGAGAGGUAAAUGGAAUUCCUGGUGUAGCGGUGGAAUGCGUAGAUAUCAGGAAGAACACCGAGAGCGAAGGCAAUUUACUGGACGAUCACUGACCCUCAGGGACGAAAGCGUAGGUAGCGAACAGGAUUAGAUACCCGCGUAGUC
This 440-nucleotide ribosomal RNA is filed under the name uncultured bacterium. RNAcentral describes it as "partial 16S ribosomal RNA". It matches the Rfam family "Bacterial small subunit ribosomal RNA", at positions 339 to 795 of the family's 1533-position model. The record is from RNAcentral.